RNAcentral lists this long non-coding RNA (886 nucleotides) under Theobroma cacao (cacao). RNAcentral describes it as "long non-coding RNA (TCAC_LNC003980)". The record is from RNAcentral. Lineage: Eukaryota; Viridiplantae; Streptophyta; Magnoliopsida; Malvales; Malvaceae.
CAUUCAUCAAUAUUUUUCUAAAAUUAAGUACUUAAUACAGAAAGGCAGUAGAAAUUGUACUCAAUGUUCAAUUAAAAUUUUAUUUCUCAAACUUUGCAGCAGCAUUCAGACAUCGCAUUGUAAAUCCAUACUAUUAAGGCUUCCCUACUCAACCUAUGGCCAAUUAAUAUAAAUCACCCAGAGAUAAGCCCAAGCAUUCACUGUAGUUGAUGGUUUAGCCCUUCAAAACUAAACUUUCAGCAUCUUUCAACCCCUAAUAUCAAAUCUGCCAUAAAGAUUAAAUGAUUAUUACCUACUUGAAUUUAUAAAUAAACAGCUCGAACAUGAAAUCUCUUACCAUACAGUCAACUUUCAACUUAAAGAUAGAGUUUAGAAAGCUUUAUCUCCUUCAAAAUGUGGUGGUUUAUGUUGGGUGAGGGCUGAUCAUGCAUCAAAUACAAAUAAAACAUAGCGAAAAUAAAUUUAAAAAAUUAAAUUACGCUUCACCUUCCUAAAAUCUCUUUCAUGUCAAAUUGAGUACAAAAUUAAAUUAAAAUAAAAGUAUGUGAUCAUAUCACUUUACCUAAAUAACAAAGGUUGAUGAAUUCUUUGUUAAACCACCAAAUAAGGCUUAAAAAAGCUCAACCACCUUAGCCCGAUUGUUGCAAACCAAAGUUGUCCAAGGAAUCCUUGUGUAGCCUUUAAUGGUGAUCCACACCAAUGAAUGAGAAAAUCUUUCUUUAAAGAUUCAGAAUGCUAUGCCUUGACAAUGUGCUAGCAAAGAUGAGUUUCAUAAACUCAUAAUCCACACAAAAUUGUGGGGCUGAACACACAAAAAAAAUGAAUGAAAAAUUAUUUUUUCUUCACAUAAGGAAUGGCAAGACAAAAGAAUUUCUAAUGUGCCGUU